Molecule: transfer RNA, 66 nt
Filed under: Larutia seribuatensis
Lineage: Eukaryota; Metazoa; Chordata; Lepidosauria; Squamata; Scincidae
Description: tRNA-Lys
Source: RNAcentral
CACUAAGAAGCUUUUACAGCACUGGCCUUUUAAGCCAGAGAGGGAAACUAACGUUCCCUUAGUGAA